This is a long non-coding RNA of Passer montanus (Eurasian tree sparrow), 1279 nucleotides long. RefSeq lists it as uncharacterized. The transcript has 3 exons. NCBI's taxonomy places the organism in Eukaryota, Metazoa, Chordata, Aves, Passeriformes, Passeridae. The record is from RefSeq and is a predicted model, not a curated record.
AAAUUGUUGCUCAUUUUAUGGCAAACCUUUUCUACAUCACACAUGCAUAAUAAUUCCUGGUUAUCUCUGGGUAACACAAGCCCCUAGACUGCUAUUAAAAUUACAUUAAAAUAAAAUUAAAAGCUAAUAACUUGAAUUAUUAAUUCUGUACUGGUUUUGGUUGGCAUAGAGUUAAAUUCCUUCACAGUAGCUGGUAUGGGGCUAUGUUUUUUGAUUUGGGAGUGAAAAUAGUGUUGAUAAUACAGGGAUGUUUUAGCUCUUCCUGGGCAGUGCUUAUAACACAGGCAAGGCAUUUUUUGUUUUUCACACCAUCUGACCAGUGAGGAGGUUAAAGGUGCACAAGAAUUUGGGAAAGGAUAGCCAGGAGGGCUGACCCCAGCUGACCAAGAGAUAUUCUAGACCUCACCAAAUCAUGCUCAGCAGUAAAGACUGGGUGGACAGGUGCCACAACUGCCAUUGCCAGGGGACUGGCUGGGGAUCAAUGGGCUGGUGGAGCAAAUAUGCAGCUGUGUCGAGCUGAAGUGAAGGCCAGUGUUAAACUGUGACACCAUCCUGGGAGCUUUCUCUUAGGACUUGCCUAUCAAAGUAUCAUGAUGUGAAAUACUCCGGCUUUUUAAAUCCACUGUUGAUUUACUGUGCUUACAUGCCAUUUCUGGCCUUCUGCUUUUGAGAAGCAAGACCUCUCUCUGUAAUGACACUAUAGUAGCUGCUAGCAUUUCUUCCAAGAAAAAUACAUUUAUUCUGCUAUGAAUAAGCUGAUUUCCUGAAGAGUAGAAUGUAAAGCUUGUUCUUACAUGGAUUGAGCACUGCCAGCAUCAUCUAGUUUUGCAGUGGAGGAAGAAAUUCCCUCUUCAGUAUUUCAGUUCUCCUUGUGAUCAGCCGUAGGCACCACAUUAUGUACUAUACAAUUUGAGUCAGGGAAUGUGAUGCUUCUGGAAGUUCUUAACUUCUUUAAAGUUUUAUUUUCAUUCUGCAUUAUGAUUCCUAAUUUUAGUGAAAAGCUCUUUGGAGGAUUAUAAAAUCAGACUGGAAGCCAAAUAAUAUGAGGAAAAAAAAGAGCAUCAGAAGUAACUUUUUUUCUGUCUAAAAUUAUUUUUCCUCUCUUUCUUCUCAUUUUCUUUCAUUGCCUUUAGAUGUGUGAUACAUGAGUCCUUCUUUUGUAUUACAAUUGUAUAGCCAUAAGACAGGUUGUAGUAUAGAAUCUUCUAUAAGGAUAAUAGGUAGCUACAGUAUAUGUAAUGUAGGAUGCAAGUAUUUAAUAAAUCAGUUCCCAAAAGCA